RNAcentral lists this long non-coding RNA (1987 nucleotides) under Olea europaea subsp. europaea. The record is from RNAcentral. Lineage: Eukaryota; Viridiplantae; Streptophyta; Magnoliopsida; Lamiales; Oleaceae.
CGAAAAGUGGUUUGAGGCUUGGUUUAAGGUGAACCAAAGGUUCGUACGAUUUGGACUGUCGAAGUUCGUAUUAAUUACUGACUUGAAGUGUGGUCCAGUGCCUAAAGGUACCGAAGUUGACAAAAUCCUAGAAAAAACCUGUCUACAAGAUAGAAUAUUUGCUAAUAUGGACUGGAUAACUUUUAGCAACUUGGAGAAUGUUUUUUUGAAAUGUGUCAACUGUAACGAUCGUUACAAGCUUGGGUUGACACUAAUUAUUGGAGGAUAUUUAAUUUAAGAGAUUGAAAUGUAAGAAUACAUCCGACAGCUCUCUCUAUCAUUGAUGACUUGGAUUUUUUCAAUGCCUAUCCAUGGAGGAGGGUAUGUUUUCAACUUCUCAUCAAAUCACUGCUACGUGGAUGGGGAAGAAAGGCGGACAUGGAAAAAGUGAACGAUUGUGAUAGGAUGACUUAUACGUUGUACGAAUUUCCUCUUGCCAUCUAGGUAUUCAUCUAUUUUGGUUUAUUUCAGUUCUUUUCAUCGCACAUUGUUAUUUACCUCCAAAUAUGGUUAUUACUGUUAUAAAUGUCAUGCAGAUUUGGGCGUACGAGGCAAUCUUAGAGUUGGGAGCUCAAUUAUCGAGUAAGACUUAUGACAAUGUCUUGAGGAUGUUGUGGUGGUCUGGCACGAAACAACCUCAUUCCUGAACAUAUUCAGAUUUUUUUUAGAAGACAGAUGUAAGCGAUUUACAUACGUAAUUGCCUUACACUUUCGCAAUAUAAAAUAUUUUAUUUCGCCUAUUUUUCCUUCCCCUGUAGGUGCACUUGUGGGUAACGCUGCGCACAAUUGUUGCAGAAGAAUUGCAGCUGUACUUCGUCGAUCUAGUUCUGUUGGAAGAUGCAGCUGACCCCGUUCUAGAUGAUCUUGUUGCUCAAUCAAUAAAAAUACAAGAUUGUCCAGCUGAAGAUGAUGUCAUACGGAAUGAUGACAACAACCAUCGACCAAAUAAAUCCUAGAGAGACAACAAAGAUGGACCAUGUCAUCGAGGUUUGCAUCACGUUGAAGGCAGAGAAGAAGAGCAUGGGGAUCCGAUCAUCGAAAGAACUGUGCCUUUAGAUGAGAUAAGAGCUAUCUUGAAUGAACAAUAGGAGACAGUUGAGAGCAAGAUGGGUAAUUUGAGGGAAGAGAUGAACACAAGAUUCACUAGUUUCCAAAAUGAUAUGGGAGGUCAUGUGUGUGGUUUGAGAAAUCAUGUCACUGAUGAGAUCAAUGUGCUUCGACGAAGGUUUGAUGAAGUUGCUACAGAAAUUGGGCAACACAAUGUUGCUGAUGAGUAUGGUGGAUUUGGUCUUGACGAUCGCGGUGGAGACGAGCCCCGACGUAAUGUUUUAACUCCCAAUAUUUCUGCAGAUAAAAGGAUGUCGGAGAGACAACCAAACUAGUUGUUUGCAAUAUCUCUGAUGUGUCCAUAACGUUGGGAGGUGAGGUUGGAGUACUUAGGUGAGUAUACGUUGCUUGUGAUAUUGUGAAAGAGGUACCAGCCAUUAUACCUACAGUUGGUGUGACCGUUGAUGAUCAGCUGAUUCAUGACAGCGUCGUUAUUGGACCUUUGAUGGUAGCUGAUCCACCUAGACAUAGACCUCGAUCGUUGAGGCUGAAGAAGGCUAGUGCUAACAGAAAGAUGCCAUACACCCGAUCUGGUCGCAAGAGGGAUAAGAGGGAUGCGUAGUCUGUGUAUUUUGGUUGACGGCACAUAAUGGUGAUUGCAUAUGAACUUCAGGUUGAUUUGAAUUUAGAGGUUCGCAUAUUUUGGUUUAUAUGGUGGUUUUGCAAUGUGUAUUUUGAUUUAUGUCGUGAUACGUAAUAUGUAUUUUGGUUUACAUAGUGGUUUGGAUAUUUUUGUUUAUAUGGUGGUAUGUAAUAUUUUGUGGAUGCAAACUUGUGGUUUAUAUGUUAAUGGCAUGUUCGGAAGGUUGUAUGUUGAAAACAGUUUAUAACUUUAUUAUCU